GAUCAUGGCUCAGGAUGAACGCUGGCGGCGUGCUUAACACAUGCAAGUCGAGCGAAGCACUUAAGUUUGAUUCUUCGGAUGAAGACUUUUGUGACUGAGCGGCGGACGGGUGAGUAACGCGUGGGUAACCUGCCUCAUACAGGGGGAUAACAGUUAGAAAUGGCUGCUAAUACCGCAUAAGACCACGGUACUGCAUGGUGCAGUGGUAAAAACUCCGGUGGUAUGAGAUGGACCCGCG
Molecule: ribosomal RNA, 238 nt
Filed under: uncultured bacterium
Lineage: Bacteria
Description: partial 16S ribosomal RNA
Rfam family: Bacterial small subunit ribosomal RNA
Source: RNAcentral